UACGUAGGGGGCCAGCGUUGUCCGGAAUCAUUGGGCGUAAAGCGCGCGUAGGCGGUCAGGUAAGUCCGGUGUGAAAGUCAUAGGCUCAACCUAUGGAUGCCGCUGGAAACUGCCUGACUUGAGUCCGGGAGGGGCGAGCUGGAAUUCCUGGUGUAGCGGUGAAAUGCGCAGAUAUCAGGAGGAACACCGGUGGCGAAGGCGGGUCUCUGGGCCGAUAUUGACGCUGAGGAGCGAAAGCCAGGGGAGCGAACGGG
RNAcentral lists this ribosomal RNA (254 nucleotides) under uncultured bacterium. RNAcentral's name for it is "partial 16S ribosomal RNA". It matches the Rfam family "Bacterial small subunit ribosomal RNA", at positions 524 to 776 of the family's 1533-position model. The record is from RNAcentral.